RNAcentral lists this ribosomal RNA (161 nucleotides) under Lentzea albidocapillata. RNAcentral describes it as "16S rRNA. Bacterial SSU". It matches the Rfam family "Bacterial small subunit ribosomal RNA", at positions 19 to 182 of the family's 1533-position model. Lineage: Bacteria; Bacillati; Actinomycetota; Actinomycetes; Pseudonocardiales; Pseudonocardiaceae. The record is from RNAcentral.
CUGGCUCAGGACGAACGCUGGCGGCGUGCUUAACACAUGCAAGUCGAGCGGUAAGGCCCUUCGGGGUACACGAGCGGCGAACGGGUGAGUAACACGUGGGUAACCUGCCCUGUACUCUGGGAUAAGCCUUGGAAACGAGGUCUAAUACCGGAUAUGACACU